GAGCCCCGUCAGGACGAAGUGGGGAGCCCCCGAGUUUGGUUUCUACGCGGGGGGUCUGCGGGAUCACAGGAGGGUCGGGUUUUCUGUGAAAAGCCCUUCGUUGUGCUGUCGUGUUGCCCGCCCAGUCUGACAGGUCGUAAGGGGAAGCUCCAGAGACUGAAAAAAAUCAUCCCUUUUACUGAUCUUCACCUCUAAUUCAUCUCCAUGUGCUAUGUGGAAAUUGCUCUACAGCAAGUCCAUGGCUACAAAUAUGUAGCUGCAUUCAGCAAUAAAUGAUAAAAAAAAAAAAAAAAGCUUUGGAUGUGCAUGUUCACUAUAGCGUACACCCCCCUAAAGCCAUGUUUAACUUAGAGUCAUAUCAUAGAAUCAUUAGGGUUGGAAAAGACCUUCAAGAUACUUGGUCCAACCAUCACCCUCCAGCCAACGUCACCCACUAAACCAUGUCCCUAAGCGCCACGUCCAACCUUCCCUUGUAUAAAUGUUUCAUGCGAAGUAGAAUUUGAUUCAGGCGUUCUCCUAAUUAUAUAUCUUAUCCUUCAAAGUGAAUUCAGAUCAAUUAAACAGAGCACAAACAUGCUCAACGUUUCUCAGAUAUAUUUUGUACCAUUAGCCUUUGUAUGUGUGGAAUUGCCCCCAGCUAAGUUCCCCAAGAUGGUAAUUCCCAUUUAGGGAUACACCGAAAAAUAAGAUUAGGGGGUAUGGGAAGGGGAAUGCAAAAUGCUAUUUUUUGUCUUGUGAAUAUUAUCAAAAGACUUACAAGGAACUGAAGUGAUAGACAUUUUAGAAAUGUAUGUAAAAGAUUUAACUCAAAUAAAGUAAUUUUAAGAAUUG
Oxyura jamaicensis (ruddy duck) is the source of this 831-nucleotide long non-coding RNA. RefSeq lists it as uncharacterized. NCBI's taxonomy places the organism in Eukaryota, Metazoa, Chordata, Aves, Anseriformes, Anatidae. The transcript is spliced from 2 exons. The record is from RefSeq and is a predicted model, not a curated record.